Molecule: transfer RNA, 235 nt
Filed under: Marmota monax (woodchuck)
Lineage: Eukaryota; Metazoa; Chordata; Mammalia; Rodentia; Sciuridae
Description: tRNA.Val
Source: RNAcentral
UGGGCUGUGGCUCAGUGGUAGAGCGUCUGCCUAACAUGUGUGAAGCACUAAUUCAUUCUUAGCACUGCAUGUAAAUAAAUAAAUUAAAUAAAGGCCCAUUGGCAACUAAAAAUAUAUUAAAAAAAUAAAAUCUCAACUCCCAGAGACAAGGCACUAGGACCAUAUGCAUUCAGUGACUAUCCUUGGGGUUAAUGGCAUAAGGCAGCCUUGGUUCAAAUCCUGUUUAGCUGCUUAU